GUGUAUCGAGAUUCGAAAACUCAAACUUUGCAAUUACUAAAAUUACGUACUCCAACUUUAACGCAUCAAAAUUAUGUCCGUAUAUUUGCAUUUCAUAAGUAUUUUUAGAUAAAGAAAGUUUUAUUUCAUAACUAUUUUAAUGGAGCGUUAAUUUUGCAUAAGUAUUUUAAUGCGAUGUUGAUUUUUGUAGUUACUGAUAAUAUAUUGUAAGAAAAAUACAUGGUUAUAACAUACUUAUAAGGGCCUUUUCAAUUUUUC
RNAcentral lists this long non-coding RNA (258 nucleotides) under Setaria viridis. RNAcentral describes it as "long non-coding RNA (SVIR_LNC001686)". Lineage: Eukaryota; Viridiplantae; Streptophyta; Magnoliopsida; Poales; Poaceae. The record is from RNAcentral.